CUGUGGGGGCAGUGUGGAGCAGAAUAAUACCCCUGAUCACCUGUGGGGGGCAGUGUGGAGCUGAAUAAUACCCUGAUCACCUGUGGGGGCAGUAUUAAUGUGUCUGAUAUCAUUGUUGUGAAUCUGGUGAAACAGGCUGGAGUGUCUGAGACGGUCUCUGUGUCCUCCAGUCUGAGACGGUCUCUGUGUCCUCCAGUCUGAGACGGUCUCUGUGUCCUCCAGUCUGAGACGGUCUCUGUGUCCUCCAGUCUGAGACGGUCUCUGUGUCUUCCAGCCUGUGUCUCUGGGCGUUUCGGUCCCUUCUGCUCUCUGACCUGUUCGUGUCCGUCGCCGCUGAUCUGUGAUCGUUUCACUGGAGACUGUGUGUGUGAGGACGGAGGAGACGACUGCAAACAAGACACGUCGGAGCAGACGGGGAGCGUCAUGGUGCCGCUGCCCCCCGGGGAGAGGGAGUCCUGGGGGGGCCAUCAGCGGCAUCGUGGUUCUGGUGCUGCUGGUGGUUCUGCUGCUGGUUCUGCUGCUGUUGUACCGCCGGCGGCAGAAGAAGAAGCACAGCAACACGCCCGCCGUGUCCUUCUCCACCGGCCGAACCCUGAACUCCGAGUACGCCGUGCCAGACGUUCCCCACAGUUACCACCACUACUACUCCAACCCCAGCUACCACACCCUGAGCCAGAGCCACGCCCGCCCGCCGCUGCCCCACCUGCCCAACAACCACGGCCGCACCGUCAAGAACACCAACAAGCAGCUGUUCUGCAGCGUGAAGAACGCGGAGCGGGAACGCCGCGGCCUGUUCGGGGUGGAGCCCAACGCCACGCUGCCCGCCGACUGGAAACACCACAAGAACCGCAAAGACUCAGGAGCCUUCGGCAUCGACCGGAGCUUCAGCUACAGCGCCACCCUGGGGAAACGCUACAGCAAAGAGCUGAAGGACUUGGCGGCGGCGGCGGCGGCGGCGAGCAGCAGCUCUCUGAACAGCGAGAAUCCCUACGCCACCAUCAAGGACCUGCCGGGCCUGCCCCACUUCUGCCCCCCCGAGAGCAGCUACAUGGAGAUGAAGUCGGCCGUGCCCCGUGA
RNAcentral lists this long non-coding RNA (1077 nucleotides) under Salarias fasciatus (jewelled blenny). RNAcentral describes it as "lncRNA (ENSSFAG00005017506.1)". Lineage: Eukaryota; Metazoa; Chordata; Actinopteri; Blenniiformes; Blenniidae. The record is from RNAcentral.